AAUCAACGCUGGCGGCGUGCCUAACACAUGCAAGUCGAACGAGAAAGUGGAGCAAUCCAUGAGUACAGUGGCGUACGGGUGAGUAACACGUGACUAACCUACCCUCGAGUGGGGAAUAACCUCGGGAAACCGGGGCUAAUACCGCAUAACAUCUUCGGAUCAAAUGCGUAAGCAGCUUGGGGAGGGGGUCGCGGCCGAUUAGCUAGUUGGUGAGGUAAUGGCUCACCAAGGCAAUGAUCGGUAGCCGGCCUGAGAGGGCGCACGGCCACACUGGAACUGAAACACGGUCCAGACUCCUACGGGAGGCAGCAGUGGGGAAUUUUGCGCAAUGGGGGAAACCCUGACGCAGCAACGCCGCGUGGGUGAUGAAGGCC
RNAcentral lists this ribosomal RNA (374 nucleotides) under uncultured bacterium. RNAcentral's name for it is "bacterial SSU rRNA". It matches the Rfam family "Bacterial small subunit ribosomal RNA", at positions 32 to 416 of the family's 1533-position model. The record is from RNAcentral.